GAUCCUGGCUCAGGACGAACGCUGGCGGCGUGCUUAACAUAUGCAAGUCGAACGAAGAGAGGUGCUUCGGUAUUUCUCUUAGUGGCGGACUGGUGAGUAACACGUGAGUAACCUGCCUCAUACAGGGGGAUAACUGGAAGAAAUUUCAGCUAAUACCGCAUAAUACAAGAAAUCGCAUGGUUGAAGAGUUAAAGGAGAAAUCCGGUAUGAGAUGGACUCGCGCAUCAUUAGCUAGUUGG
This 239-nucleotide ribosomal RNA is filed under the name uncultured bacterium. Its description in RNAcentral is "partial 16S ribosomal RNA". It matches the Rfam family "Bacterial small subunit ribosomal RNA", at positions 15 to 252 of the family's 1533-position model. The record is from RNAcentral.